Molecule: ribosomal RNA, 1346 nt
Filed under: uncultured bacterium
Lineage: Bacteria
Description: partial 16S ribosomal RNA
Rfam family: Bacterial small subunit ribosomal RNA
Source: RNAcentral
GACGAACGCUGGCGGCGUGCUUAACACAUGCAAGUCGAACGGAAAGGCCCUGCUUUUGUGGGGUGCUCGAGUGGCGAACGGGUGAGUAACACGUGAGUAACCUGCCCUUGACUUUGGGAUAACUUCAGGAAACUGGGGCUAAUACCGGAUAGGAGCUCCUGCUGCAUGGUGGGGGUUGGAAAGUUUCGGCGGUUGGGGAUGGACUCGCGGCUUAUCAGCUUGUUGGUGGGGUAGUGGCUUACCAAGGCUUUGACGGGUAGCCGGCCUGAGAGGGUGACCGGCCACAUUGGGACUGAGAUACGGCCCAGACUCCUACGGGAGGCAGCAGUGGGGAAUACUGCACAAUGGGCGGAAGCCUGAUGCAGCAACGCCGCGUGCGGGAUGACGGCCUUCGGGUUGUAAACCGCUUUCGCCUGUGACGAAGCGUGAGUGACGGUAAUGGGUAAAGAAGCACCGGCUAACUACGUGCCAGCAGCCGCGGUGAUACGUAGGGUGCGAGCGUUGUCCGGAUUUAUUGGGCGUAAAGGGCUCGUAGGUGGUUGAUCGCGUCGGAAGUGUAAUCUUGGGGCUUAACCCUGAGCGUGCUUUCGAUACGGGUUGACUUGAGGAAGGUAGGGGAGAAUGGAAUUCCUGGUGGAGCGGUGGAAUGCGCAGAUAUCAGGAGGAACACCAGUGGCGAAGGCGGUUCUCUGGGCCUUUCCUGACGCUGAGGGGCGAAAGCGUGGGGAGCGAACAGGCUUAGAUACCCUGGUAGUCCACGCUGUAAACGGUGGGUACUAGGUGUGGGGUCCAUUCCACGGGUUCCGUGCCGUAGCUAACGCUUUAAGUACCCCGCCUGGGGAGUACGGCCGCAAGGCUAAAACUCAAAGGAAUUGACGGGGCCCCGCACAAGCGGCGGAGCAUGCGGAUUAAUUCGAUGCAACGCGUAGAACCUUACCUGGGUUUGACAUGGAUCGGGAGUGCUCAGAGAUGGGUGUGCCUCUUUUGGGGUCGGUUCACAGGUGGUGCAUGGCUGUCGUCAGCUCGUGUCGUGAGAUGUUGGGUUAAGUCCCGCAACGAGCGCAACCCUUGUUCACUGUUGCCAGCACGUUAUGGUGGGGACUCAGUGGAGACCGCCGGGGUCAACUCGGAGGAAGGUGGGGAUGACGUCAAGUCAUCAUGCCCCUUAUGUCCGGGGCUUCACGCAUGCUACAAUGGCUGGUACAGAGAGUGGCGAGCCUGUGAGGGUGAGCGAAUCUCGGAAAGCCGGUCUCAGUUCGGAUUGGGGUCUGCAACUCGACCUCAUGAAGUCGGAGUCGCUAGUAAUCGCAGAUCAGCAACGCUGCGGUGAAUACGUUCCCGGGGCU